Molecule: ribosomal RNA, 301 nt
Filed under: uncultured bacterium
Lineage: Bacteria
Description: partial 16S ribosomal RNA
Rfam family: Bacterial small subunit ribosomal RNA
Source: RNAcentral
CAGUCGCGCGGUAAUGCGGAGGGGGCUAGCGUUGUUCGGAAUUACUGGGCGUAAAGCGCACGUAGGCGGCUUGGUAAGUUAGAGGUGAAAGCCUGGAGCUCAACUCCAGAAUUGCCUUUAAGACUGCCGAGCUAGCAGGUGAGAGAGGUAAGUGGAAUUCCGAGUGUAGAGGUGAAAUUCGUAGAUAUUCGGAAGAACACCAGUGGCGAAGGCGGCUUACUGGCUCAUACUGGACGCUGAGGUGCGAAAGCGUGGGGAGCAAACAGGAUUAGAUACCCGCGUAGUCCCUGUCUCUUAUACA